This is a non-coding RNA of Apis mellifera (honey bee), 87 nucleotides long. The record is from RefSeq and is marked provisional. NCBI's taxonomy places the organism in Eukaryota, Metazoa, Arthropoda, Insecta, Hymenoptera, Apidae.
CAUAUGUUCAAAAAUGUGUAUAUAUAAUUAUAUCGUGUUAUCGUUCGCAACACAAUGCGUUAUAAUUAUAUAUACAAGAUUGCAUAG